CCGAGAAUCAUGCCACAUAAUCUCCCACUAAUCAUGCCAUGUCAUCAUGAUUACCUUGCUAGUUGCCACUUGUUCAAAACAUCAAGUCCAAAAUUCAAAUUUAUCAAACAUACAAACUGAAAUGUUCAAAGUGUGGCAAAUAUUCCAGAACUAAUUAUGGUGGUGACCCCACAUUUUUGUAAAGUAUUAAAAUGCCCUUUUGUGAAUAUAAAGUGGGUUUAACAAUUAAUUAAAUGCCUUUUCUAAUUUAUAAAAUAUUGAACUAUUUUAUUUGAGCCAAACUUUUUCUGCCAUCUAAGGACAUUGUCUAGUAUUUAUAUGACAUGAUUCACAUUUUACAAAAAUUGUUUGGUGGGUCAACUAAAUGCAAAACAGGAGCUCAAAAACAAACAGCCACGAAAUUGAAAAACAAAGGUAAAAAAAAGCAAAAGGAAACAGCCCACCCCCUUGUCCCCAUGGGCCUUAGCUCACCCAGCCGGCCCAACAUCUCAGCCAGCCCACCUACCCCAUCGGUCUCCUUCGCCUACUGUUCUCCUGGCGCGACCGCUACAGGGACACGUCCCUGUCGGACCAGCUCGCCGGCGCCGCCCCGAGGGGAUAAGGGCGCCGUCCCCUCGACGCCUCGAGCCCUCCCGUCCACUCACCACUCCCCACUUGCGCCCCCUCGCUCUCUCUCUUGCCCACGCACUCGUCACCUCCUCCAGAUCCAUCGCCGAGCACGGUCGUUGCCGCUCGCCUCACUCUGCCAUGGCCAGCAGGCACAUCUCGCCUCGCCGUUGCGUCCACAAAGACCGCCGUCGUCCGCUGCGUCUACUAUGGAGACGAAACGAGCCGGAACCCCUUCCAUCGUUGAGCCGGCCCUCUGCUUCCACCUCCGGCCACCGAAGGCCGCCGCCGUCGUUCUGCUGCACCGAGCCUCCCCCGAGCCCGCUCAUGCACAUCUGCAGGUCCGCGGUGAGCAACAACGUCGAUCCCCCUUCUUCCCUGUCGUUUACCGUGCCUGUAGACCUCGUUGCCGUCAUGGUCGAACCUGCAACCGCCGACGAGCUUGCCGUCGUGGCCUCAGCCGCGGUCGCGUGCGCACGAGCUCACUGUCGAGCUCCUGCGAUUCCCAAGGAGCCCGACGUGCGCACGCACGCAGCCCCAUGAACCCCCCUUGCCCCCUGCGCUCGACCUCACCGAGCUCCAGCUUCGGCCGCCCCGGCCCCGUUCUGCGCGCUCACGCGUACGCCGUGCAGCGCCGCGCCCGCCGCCCAGCUCGUGUGCAUGCAGUUGCUGCUCUACUGAAUGUACUGCUGCUGCUGAAUGUGACUGUAGCUAUAUGGCUAGCUUUAGGAAUUUUACACUGACUAACCUCCUAGACAGCCUCUAAACUGCUGUUAAUUAACUGUUGACAAGACUAAAAUAAAUAUAGGUAGAAAGUACAGUUAACAAACUUCAUUUUACCCCACUAGACCAAAUCCAUUUGAUGUGUGGUUUAAAUGCUAUGAAAAUCACAAAUUGCUACCUUCGGUCAAUAGAGAACAUAAUUAACACCUAGCAUAGUGUGCUGCGUGUCGUGUGUGGUCUGUGCGUGUGUGCACAACCAGCCUCACGGCUGUGCCACCAGGCCGGCCCUUGUUUAGUUUAGUUGGUAAUACUUUAGUGCUCAAUUAGUAUAACAACAAAUGACAAGUGGUCCCCUCUGUUUAUUAGCUUUAGUUAGUUGUUCUAAAAAGGCUAAGUCUAUGAUAAAUGGGCCCCGCUGUUAAUUAAGCAAGGUUUCCUAAAACUACUAAACUUAGAGUCAAUGACAUGCGGGCCCACUUCUACUAUUCAUCGGUUGACUAGUCUCUGUUGACCUGGUCAACUGGGCCCUCUGGCCCCAUCUGUUAGCCACAUAUGCACAAUGUUGGGUACACUUCUGUGUACCCGUAGCAUUUACUGUAUAUUUUCAAAAUAAUAAUAAUUUUAAAAAUCAUUUAAAACUUUGAAAUUCAAUUUAAGAUAAUCCGUAAAUCGGAUGAAAAAGUUUUACACAUGAAAGUUGCUCAGAACGACGAGACGAAUCCGAGUACACUCUCCGUUCAUCUGUCACGUGCCCCUAUCAUAGAGAACAUGCAACUUUCCCCCUCCGUUUCAUCUGUCCGAAAAAUGCAAACUUCGGGAAAACAUUCCCGGAUGUUAUCCCCCUUCGCCGGUAACGUGUAGCACCACGUUAGAACGCAUCUAGCUCCGCCUGUUGUCCUGUUAUGCUCUUGCUUGCUAUGUAUUUACUGUUUCUCCCCCCUCUUCUCCCCGGUAGACCCUGAGACUGCCGCUGAUGCCGCUAUGUUCGAGUACAUCGACGACGACCCCUCCUUGCCAGAGCAACCAGGCAAGCCCCCCCUUUGAUCAUCCCGUUAUCGCCCAUUCCAUUCUCUCAUGCUUGCAUUAGAUUUUGCUAUUGUUAUUGUUUGCUCCUAUUCUGAUGCAUAGCCUCCUUUUUUAACCUGCUUAUUGUUACCUUACCGGCUUAUCCUAAACUGCUUAGUAUAGGUUGGUUAGUGAUCCAUCAGUGACCCCCACCUUGUCCUUGUUGCCCCUGCUUCAUCAUUGGAGACCCGAUCAACGGGAUCAAAGACCAGGCCCCGGCACCGCACAUCACUUUCCCCUUAGUUGCUCGACACUACUGGGAUACUAUCGAGUGCCGAGGGUGAGACCUCUACAACACUUCUGAUGUUAACCCUGUAGUGUAGCUAUUCGGUCGUGGUCAUCGAGGGUGAUUUCCUCUUUAACCACUUCCGAUACGACUCUGUCGUGCAACCCCUCAAGUGUGAACCUCGAGGGUGAUUCCUCUACGUUCACCUUGAUGAUUACAUUGAGUGGAACCCACCGAGGGUGAUUCCUUGGGUUUUCCUCUUGAUGUUUGGACACACGGAUACUUGGACUUUACAACUGUUACUUGGAAAGAGAUGUGGAGACGGGUUGACCUGGAAGGUGCCCGUGAGAUAAUUACGAGGCGUGGCCGGGCAUUCUUAGCCCUUGCCGCAAGUCCUCGAGACGGGGCAACGGGGUCACCUCUUUCGUGAGUCUCUGCUUGUUACCGCGCGUUCCUAAUCCACUACGAUUUGGAUAUUUGAUCCGAGGGGCCUCUGGCCUGAUAGCACUAACCAUCACGUGGGCAUAGUAUGGGCGUUCUGCGUCGUAUACAUCAGCCAAAGCUUAAUAGACGUCAGCGACUGAGUGGCGCGCGCCGGGUUGGACUGCGCAAGCGCCUGCCUUGUUGAAGGAGGUAGCUAGGUCUGCUCACCGGCCGCGUACGCAACGUGCAGGAGUUUCCGGGGAGAUGGCCCAUGACCCCUGGGGGCAUAGGUUUAGUCCGGCGUGCUGACCUCUCUGUUAAGUCUAGGUCGGGUUGCGGCGUAUUGUUUGGCCGAGGCCGGGCAUGACCCUGGAAAGUGUGUUCGGCCGGAGUCAAUCGAGCGUGGUGGGUAAGUUGGUGCACCCCUGCAGGGAAGAACUAAUCUAUGCAUAGCCUGUCCUACGGUAACGGACACUUGGAGUUGUAUCCCGAUCGAUACAACUAGAACUGGAUACUUGUGAUGAGAACUGGAUGGUGAUGAGGAUUUGAUUGAGAUGAUAAUUGGAUAGUAUGGCUCUGGGAUUGCUUUCUCGCAGGGAGUCGAGAAAGGAUCUCUGGCCGAGGUUGAUAACACUACUACUACUUUACCUUAUGCUACUCUACUCCCUCUUGUUUGCUGCAAGAUGGUGGUUUCCAGAAGAUGCUAGUCUUCGAUAGGACUAGACCUUCUCUCUAUUCUGGCAUUUCUGCAGCCCAGUCCACAUAUACAGCCUUCCUUUGAUAAUGUUGCAUAUGUAGUGUAGAUCCUUGCUUGCGAGUACUUUGGAUGAGUACUCACGGUUGCUUUGCUCCCCCUUUUCCCCCUUCUUUCUUCUUUCUGGUUGUUGCAACCAGAUGGUGGAGUUCAGGAGCCAGAUGCCACCUUUGACGACGGCUGCUACCCCGAGGGUGCCUACUACCACGUGACGGACGCCGACGACCAAGAGUAGUUAGGAGGCUCCCAGGCAGGAGGCCUUGCCUUUUCGAUCGUAGAUGCUUUUGUGCUAGCCUUCUUAAGGCAAACUUGUUUAACUCACAUCUGUGCUCAGAUAUUGUUGCUUCCGCUGACUCGUUUGUUUUCAAGCUGAUGUAUUCGAGCCCUCGAGGCCCUUGGCUUGUAAUAUAAAGCUUGUAUUAUUUUAAUUUGUGUCUAGAGUUGUGUUGUGAUAUCUUCCCGUGAGUCCUUGAUCUUGAUCGUACACAUUUGCGUGUAUGAUUAGUGUAUGAUUGAAUCAAGGGCGUCACAAGUUGGUAUCAGAGCCAACUGCCUGUAGGUAGCCCCCUUUCCAACUCCUUGGCCGAAGUUGAGUCUAGUCAAUGAAAGACUUUUACUAACUUGGUUGUGUGGCUUACGGGCCCACAUCGCCAUUGGGUGGUAUUAGGAUCAUUUAUUCCUUUUCCUUACUCUGGGAUUCCGAUCUCUCGUCUAUUCGGGUUAAACAUUUUACUAACUCUGACAUUAGGUUCUCGUACCCACUUCCUCCCGGGGAGCCCCGACAUUACCACUGAUCGCUUGCUUUGCCAGAAGUUUCUGCAGAUACUCCUUAAUGUUUUUCGAGACCCUGUGCCCACUGCCUUGCAGUUCCUGACCACAGAUAAUCCCCGUGAAUGACAUCCUUGCCGCUUGUACCUUCAUACCCAGUUGCUCCUAUUAUUACAAGAUGUACUCUCCGGUGUUUCGAGAAUCCUUUGUGCCUUCUGCCUUGCGGUUUCUUUUUGCACUACGGAUAAUUCGCCGAACCCGUUCAUCCCCAGUUGUUCACAUGAUUUCCAAAAUACUUGGAAAUACUAUGUGAUCUUCCAAAAAAUCCUCUGCAGCCUAUUGCUCUUGAUUUUCCUUGCCUGCUUGCAUUAGGAUUAAUUCCAUAUGUCUAGCAAUAUUCUUUAAAAUUCUUUGUGGCUGUCAUUCUAAUCCUAUGGAUUCAACGUGUGAGCAAAUACUCGCAAUCAUCAAUUAAUCCUUGGAAAUUUUCUUUCCGGCUUCGACAUCGCUCCGGUUAUGAGCUGGUUCUUGCCCAAUCAAGACUUGAUCGGGGCCAUAUUUAAGUCUAUUCAACUUACUCACCUUUUGAUCAGAGCCUCUGCUUCUGAUCCUUCGACUUGAAAUCAUAACUCCUUUGUACUCAAGCAUCAAAUUAUUCAGAUGUUUCUAUAACCCGCUGUCUUUGCAUUCUUUCUUCUUCUGGGUGAGUAUCGAUACUCACAUCAGAUCUUUUAUGGACCACCAUAUCCUUGGUUGGAUUAUUAUCCGACAAUGUAUUUCAUAUUCAUUAAACUUGUGAGUUUUGCCCUGACACAUAAUGCCUUUGGUAAAUUCUAUCAUCUGCUUUUGUCAACCAUGCUCUGCUUUCGAGCUGGUAUAUUUUAAUCCUGAAGUUAGUGGUAUAUGUUCCUAAGAUACCCCUACGGGUUGAACCUAUGCCUUCACUAAUCCAUGUGAACUCGAAAGAGAUGUGAGUCAUACUCUUCUGGUGCUUCACCAGGUAAAUCUUUCGCACUACAAUUUCUUCGAAAACGAGGAGUGAAUGAAAGGUUAUGCAUUGAAGAAGUGGGAGUCGACCUUGAACUUUGUGUUCAUGCCCAUGGACACGAGGUAGAUCUUAUCAUGGAAGCUUCUCUUAAAAUUAAUUAUCUCCUUGGUAUAAGUUCAUCUUAUUUCUGGGUUUUGGUCCUUUGCAACCGUGGACCCGACCAUGAUUAGUCUCCCUUGAUUCCAUUUCUCAGGCAAGUUAAAGCACUUGUCUUUUGCAGGUCAAUGUAUCCCCGCAACCUCUAUUUUGAUCUUCCUUCGGGUAUUACCCUUCGGUAUCUCGAGAAUAUCAAAGAACUGUGUUGCUUCCUAUUAGUCUCCAUCUAGUAUUGCUACUCACCGAUUUCAUUUCCCCCCAGGAUCUGAGUUUUUAAUCACUCAAGGACACCGGUAAGUGAAUCGGUUGGAUCGAUUCCGCACUCCGAUUCUAUAACUAAGUAAUUUUCAUUACUUCCGAGUUUAAUAAUCCUUCAAGUCAUUCCUAGCCUGGUCGUCUAUGUCAAUAUCGUGCCAAAUUUUAACUGUGCUGCCUGGUUCUUCUUCCCGGAGCACAAUUUUGACGAUGAGCUAAGCCUACAUCGACUUUCCUUGUCAUAUCAUUUUGUCUUGAAUAGCAAGCUUAAUUUCGAGUUUGUGUCAUACCCGUGGUUCCAAUAACCUUUCGCUUCAUCAUUCCUUUGACUUGAUGUCAUCGCCGAUCGAUUACAUCUUCAUUAAAUCUCUCGACAAAUGUUUCGUGAUCAUCAUCAACAUUCUGAGCUCUUCCAGGAUAUCAAUCGAAUUCAUGAUGAGAAAUACAAUCCUUGCCCCUCGAUGAUUUAAGUUAUCAUCGAUAACAUUCUUGCCCUCCCCAACACAAACUUGUUCACAUAAUUUUGGUAAUACACCCUUUUUGACAUGUCGAUGGAUUGUUGCUGAGCCCGUCGGCCACACCCUCAUCUUUUCUUUGCUGAAAUUGUAUGACUUAUUUUCUAAGUUGUUUCCGAUGGAUCCUUUGUGUAUCUGAAGUCCGACCUUUCCCUGAUGACCAUGUCAACACUAUCCCGGAACAUGUGUGUGGUACUCCGAUCAUCAACAAGAACAUUGGGAGUGCAAUGCUAACUAUUCUUGAUCAAUUAUCCAAUCACCAUUGUAUGUGUAAACCUCAUAAAUUCCUUGCCCCUUUGUCUAAACGGUUUAAUACUUGGAGUCCAAUCAUGCUCUUCCUUUCUUUGGGAAAGUUAUACUCUAAUACUUGGGUAUAAACAUCUUUCCUUUCCAUUGGUCUAAUUAUCAUAAUAAUCACAUAUUCCUUUCCAUUGUUUUGUUUAACCUAUCUUGUGAUCCAUAUGUUCUAAGCAGUAAUAGUUCCCGGCUUAUGUAAACACCUCAGUGUACAAUUGGUCAGUAAGACCUUGUUAUUAUUGCUGUUGACAUUCCGGUAACCAUCGAUGGACGAGAACUUCGCCUAUUGGUCCGCCUCGUUUAAUCGAGCAAGAAAAUGGUUCUCUUCGUCCCUCGCCCUUGGUACCAACGUUGUUGGCGACAUAACUGACAGACUAUCCCCUGACAUGCCUUUCCCUCAUGACCGUGCAAGAUGUCACCACCCUUCCUGCAUUUAACCCACAUGGUGGGCCCAUAACCCACAGUUCCACUGGAUCGAAACCUGACUCUCCUGUACAUCCUUAAUUCCGAAGUAUCCUUUGCUCUUAACCUUGUGUGUUAUCAUGAGCCACCCUCUGAGAGAUGAUCUAUUCCCAAUGCUCUGAGCCCCCCUUCUCAUACUCUGUUCAGGUAUCGAUCGUUUGUACAUUCACAUGAAACUUCCUAUUGUACCUUCAUACUUUGCUCUUGAUGUUUUCUGAAGUUUCGACUCGAGAGAUACUUCUGCCACAUUCCCUUAAUUGUUCACGAGAUGAUUAACCCUAUAAAGAUUAGUCCNNNNNNNNNNCACAGUAAUCUCCCACUAAUCAUGCCAUGUCAUCAUGAUUACCUUGCUAGUUGCCACUUGUUCAAAACAUCAAGUCCAAAAUUCAAAUUUAUCAAACAUACAAACUGAAAUGUUCAAAGUGUGGCAAAUAUUCCAGAACUAAUUAUGGUGGUGACCCCACAUUUUUGUAAAGUAUUAAAAUGCCCUUUUGUGAAUAUAAAGUGGGUUUAACAAUUAAUUAAAUGCCUUUUCUAAUUUAUAAAAUAUUGAACUAUUUUAUUUGAGCCAAACUUUUUCUGCCAUCUAAGGACAUUGUCUAGUAUUUAUAUGACAUGAUUCACAUUUUACAAAAAUUGUUUGGUGGGUCAACUAAAUGCAAAACAGGAGCUCAAAAACAAACAGCCACGAAAUUGAAAAACAAAGGUAAAAAAAAAGCAAAAGGAAACAGCCCACCCCCUUGUCCCCAUGGGCCUUAGCCCACCCAGCCGGCCCAACAUCUCAGCCAGCCCACCUACCCCAUCGGUCGCCUUCGCCUACUGUUCUCCU
RNAcentral lists this long non-coding RNA (8067 nucleotides) under Triticum aestivum (bread wheat). RNAcentral describes it as "long non-coding RNA (TAES_LNC011922)". The record is from RNAcentral. Lineage: Eukaryota; Viridiplantae; Streptophyta; Magnoliopsida; Poales; Poaceae.